CGCCCAGACUCCUACGGGAGGCAGCAGUGGGGAAUAUUGGGCAAUGGGCGCAAGCCUGACCCAGCAACGCCGCGUGAAGGAAGAAGGCUUUCGGGUUGUAAACUUCUUUUCUCAGGGACGAAGAAAGUGACGGUACCUGAGGAAUAAGCCACGGCUAACUACGUGCCAGCAGCCGCGGUAAUACGGAGGAUGCGAGCGUUAUCCGGAUUUAUUGGGUUUAAAGGGUGCGUAGGCGGAAUGCCAAGUCAGCGGUAAAAUCGCGGGGCCCAACCUCGCUCCGCCGUUGAAACUGGCGUUCUUGAGUGGGCGAGAAGUAUGCGGAAUGCGCGGUGUAGCGGUGAAAUGCAUAGAUAUCGCGCAGAACUCCGAUUGCGAAGGCAGCAUGCCGGCUCCACACUGACGCUGAGGCACGAAAGCGUGGGUAUCGAACAGGAUUAGAUACCCGAGUA
Molecule: ribosomal RNA, 449 nt
Filed under: uncultured bacterium
Lineage: Bacteria
Description: bacterial SSU rRNA
Rfam family: Bacterial small subunit ribosomal RNA
Source: RNAcentral